RNAcentral lists this ribosomal RNA (450 nucleotides) under uncultured Gammaproteobacteria bacterium. RNAcentral's name for it is "bacterial SSU rRNA". It matches the Rfam family "Bacterial small subunit ribosomal RNA", at positions 946 to 1394 of the family's 1533-position model. The record is from RNAcentral. Lineage: Bacteria; Pseudomonadati; Pseudomonadota; Gammaproteobacteria.
UUAAUUCGAUGCAACGCGAAGAACCUUACCUACCCUUGACAUCCUGCGAAUCCCGAUGAGAGUUGGGAGUGCCGAAAGGAACGCAGAGACAGGUGCUGCAUGGCUGUCGUCAGCUCGUGUUGUGAGAUGUUGGGUUAAGUCCCGUAACGAGCGCAACCCUUGUCCUUAGUUGCCAGCAAGUAAAGUUGGGGACUCUAAGGAGACUGCCGGUGAUGAACCGGAGGAAGGCGGGGACGACGUCAAGUCAUCAUGGCCUUUAUGGGUAGGGCUACACACGUGCUACAAUGGGGCGUACAGAGGGUAGCCAACCAGCGAUGGGGAGCCAAUCUCUUAAAGCGUCUCGUAGUCCGGAUUGGAGUCUGCAACUCGACUCCAUGAAGUUGGAAUCGCUAGUAAUCGCGAAUCAGCAACGUCGCGGUGAAUACGUUCCCGGGCCUUGUACACACCGCC